GAUGAACGCUAGCGAUAGGCUUAACACAUGCAAGUCGAGGGGCAGCACAAGGUAGCUUGCUAUCUGGGUGGCGACCGGCGCACGGGUGCGUAACGCGUAUGCAACUUGCCCUAUACAGGAGGAUAACCCGUCGAAAGACGGACUAAUACUGCGUAUGCUCACAACUUGGCAUCAAGUGGUGAGGAAAGAAAUUCGGUAUAGGAUAGGCAUGCGUCCCAUUAGCUUGUUGGUGAGGUAACGGCUCACCAAGGCAACGAUGGGUAGGGGAACUGAGAGGUUUAUCCCCCACACUGGUACUGAGACACGGACCAGACUCCUACGGGAGGCAGCAGUGAGGAAUAUUGGUCAAUGGGCGCGAGCCUGAACCAGCCAAGUCGCGUGAAGCAUGACUGUCUUAUGGAUUGUAAACUUCUUUUAUACGGGAAUAACAAGAGUCACGUGUGACUCCCUGCAUGUACCGUAUGAAUAAGCAUCGGCUAACUCCGUG
This 487-nucleotide ribosomal RNA is filed under the name uncultured bacterium. RNAcentral's name for it is "partial 16S ribosomal RNA". It matches the Rfam family "Bacterial small subunit ribosomal RNA", at positions 28 to 507 of the family's 1533-position model. The record is from RNAcentral.